RNAcentral lists this ribosomal RNA (135 nucleotides) under tylosin-resistant soil bacterium cfr4. RNAcentral's name for it is "partial 16S ribosomal RNA". It matches the Rfam family "Bacterial small subunit ribosomal RNA", at positions 355 to 507 of the family's 1533-position model. Lineage: Bacteria; Pseudomonadati; Pseudomonadota; Alphaproteobacteria; Hyphomicrobiales; Rhizobiaceae. The record is from RNAcentral. RNAcentral also lists the same sequence under 2 other names.
UGGGGAAUAUUGGACAAUGGGCGCAAGCCUGAUCCAGCCAUGCCGCGUGAGUGAUGAAGGCCCUAGGGUUGUAAAGCUCUUUCACCGGUGAAGAUAAUGACGGUAACCGGAGAAGAAGCCCCGGCUAACUUCGUG